GUCCAGACUCCUACGGGAGGCAGCAGUGAGGAAUAUUGGUCAAUGGGCGGAAGCCUGAACCAGCCAAGUCGCGUGAGGGAUUAAGGCCCUAUGGGUCGUAAACCUCUUUUGUCAGGGAGCAAUGGCGUCCACGUGUGGGCGUAUGGAGAGUACCUGAAGAAAAAGCAUCGGCUAACUCCGUGCCAGCAGCCGCGGUAAUACGGAGGAUGCGAGCGUUAUCCGGAUUUAUUGGGUUUAAAGGGUGCGUAGGCGGGCUUUUAAGUCAGCGGUAAAAAUUCGGGGCUCAACCCCGUCCGGCCGUUGAAACUGGGGGCCUUGAGUGGGCGAGAAGAAGGCGGAAUGCGUGGUGUAGCGGUGAAAUGCAUAGAUAUCACGCAGAACUCCGAUUGCGAAGGCAGCGUACCGGCGCCCAACUGACGCUGAAGCACGAAGGCGUGGGUAUCGAACAGGAUUAGAUACCCGUGUA
Molecule: ribosomal RNA, 466 nt
Filed under: uncultured bacterium
Lineage: Bacteria
Description: bacterial SSU rRNA
Rfam family: Bacterial small subunit ribosomal RNA
Source: RNAcentral